AGUCAAUAGAUACCCGGGUAGUCUUGGCUGUAAACGGUGCGCAUUUGCUGUAAACGGAAUCGACCCCGUUUGUGGCGAAAGCUAAACGCGAUAAAUGCGCCGCCUGGGAAGUACGGUCGCAAGAUUAAAACUCAAAGAAAUUGACGGGGGCCUGCACAAGCGGUGGAGUAUGUGGCUUAAUUCGAUGCAACGCGAAGAACCUUACCUGGCCUUGACAUGCAUUUAGUAGAACCAUGAAAGUGGGACGAUCCCGCAAGGGAAGGAUGCACAGGUGCUGCAUGGCUGUCGUCAGCUCGUGUCGUGAGAUGUUGGGUUUAAGUCCCGCAACGAGCGCAACCCUUGUGUCCUGUUGCCACUCCUACGAGAGUAGGAAGCACUCUGGACAGACUGCCUCGCUUAAACGAGGAGGAAGGUGGGGAUGACGUCAAGUCAGUAUGGCCCUUACGGCCAGGGCUGCACACGUACUACAAUGCGCGGCACAGAAGGAAGCUAGACCGUCAGGUGGAGCAAAUCCCGAAAACCGCGCCCA
RNAcentral lists this ribosomal RNA (529 nucleotides) under uncultured bacterium. RNAcentral describes it as "bacterial SSU rRNA". It matches the Rfam family "Bacterial small subunit ribosomal RNA", at positions 775 to 1290 of the family's 1533-position model. The record is from RNAcentral.